RNAcentral lists this long non-coding RNA (1343 nucleotides) under Sus scrofa (pig). RNAcentral describes it as "lncRNA (ENSSSCG00015069661.1)". The record is from RNAcentral. Lineage: Eukaryota; Metazoa; Chordata; Mammalia; Artiodactyla; Suidae.
AGGACACAGCAGCCAUGGAGAGCAUACCCCUGCUAGGUUUCACCAUUGCUCCAGAAAAGGAGGAGGGCAGCAGUGAAGUAGGACCUAUUUUUCACCUUUACCACAAGAAAACCCUAUUUUAUAGCUUCAAAGCAGAGGAUACCAAGUCAGCUCAGAGGUGGAUUGAGGCCAUGGAAGAUGCCAGUGUGUUAUAGCAGUUACCAACCAUGUGGACUCAAAGUACACUCUUAGGUUGAUAUGUGGACCCUUCCAGAAGCCAGUCCGUGUCUCCGCUCGACCAGACACACAUCUGGAUUCAGCACGGGGCCUGCCGUUUUUUGCUGUAACCCCGUUGCUUAACACCUUCACAGGUGGAACCUUUUAGGGAUAUUUAUGGACCUUUUCUGUCUUUGUGUUUCCAUCCCCCACCCCCACCCCUGGCAUAAACUAUUUCCUUUUCCAGUAGCCAGUUGAAAUUUAGUAACGUGAAGACAUGGAAACCAAUAGAAGAGUACAUUUUAGAAAAGCAGGCUUUUUAGUGGAAACGAGUUUUUAUGGUUUUUACUCCUGGUAAACGUGAUCACCUUUCAUAUUGCUGACGCCAGUGCCUCAGGUGAAAUGAGAAACAACCGGUAACUAACAGCAACUCUCAUCAAAAGCACUUUAUUGUUUUACUGAGCAAGAACCUCCAGUUUUAUGUUUGCCAAGUGAUUUACUGAGGUCAACAGUAGAGGGCGUCCUGUGGACUAAUUGCCACCAGUGCUCAAGAGGGGCGUCCAUCCAGAUGGUUUGUGCAAACCCUGCUGUGGCUCCAGCAAGCACCAUGGGGACCAUCCUCCUUCUGGCUGCGCAGGAGCAGAAGGGAGGACUCGGUCCUACCGAUGGCUCGGCCUGUGGGCCACACGACUGCCUAAAGGAGGGGCUCCCCCUCCCCACAGCGGCCCCAGCACCACACCUGUGCUGACAGAUCUGGCCUCCACCCUGGAGGUCACUGCACACCCUCCGAAGAGACAGGGUCUGCUUUAAUUUAUUGUGUGCCUUCCUGAGUUCACCCCAAGGUUAUGCUUAUGAGGAUUGUCCUUGCUUUCAACACAGUGAUCCUUCUGCUGUAUUACUGAAGCCUUGAAAGAGAUAAAAAGAGAGAGAACAAGACAGAAUCAGAAGGUGAAUCUGUGGUCAUGGCCAGUGGCUCUGAACACAGGAAGGGAGCACAGAAGCAGUGGCUGAAGAUUCUUUCUGGGCUCCUGGGGCUCAGUCACCUUCCGCUGAGGACUGCUGCUCACGAUGCCAGACGUGUUUUUACAUGAAGCGGAGUGGUAGGGGGAUUCCUUGUUACUCUUGUCAAAAUAAAAAACAAUCAUAGC